AAAGAAGCCAGAUAUUAAAGAUCCUAAAUAUGCUCAGUGGGAUAUGGACAAUUGCACCAUUUUAGGAUGGAUGUUUAAUUCUAUGGAGGAACGCAUUUAUAAUAUAUUCAUAUUUUAUGACUCUGUUAAUGACUUGUGGACUGCUUUGGAUCAAAUGUAUGCUCAUUCUAGGAAUGAUGCUCGUAUUUUUGAAUUAUAUCAAGAUAUUGCUAAGGCCUUGUAGGAAGGCCUGAAUUUGUCUGUAACUGAUUAUUUUGGGUAUUUGAGAUCUCGUUGGGAGGAACUAGCUAAAUAUGAGCCUCUUAGUGAAUUUCCUUUUGAGGCAGCCUCUCUUCUUGUCAAACGUCUUGAUCGUCAGCAUACCUAUCAGUUUUUGAUGGGAUUACGCCCAGAAUUUGAACCACUAAAGUCUCAGAUCUUGAAUGCAUCACCAAUGCCAUCCCUGUUGGAAGCCUUUGCUAUUGUUGAUGGUGAAGCACGUAGGCACCGUUUAAUUCAGCCCUCAAUUGUUCCUGUACCAGUGUCUGAGCCUGCUGGGGAUAGUAUGGCUUUUGCAGCCAACUUUGGAUCACGAGCUUCCGGAGGUCAGAUUAUUUGUCACCAUUGUGGAGGGGUUGGACAUGUUAAGGCUCGUUGCUUUAAACUUCAUCCUGAACUGAAGCAAAAAUUUUCUAGGAACCGUUUAUCUGGAACUGGUUCUUCUUGUACUGCGGCUAUUGCAGAAACUCCUGUUACUACUGGUGGAUCUACUGUAUUUCCUGGAUUGAGCCAGCUUCAGUCUCAGAUUGGGCAGAUCUAGGACCAGCUUGGCUCCCUUGCUUUUAGAGUUAGUGCUCUUUCAACUGCUCCCACUGCAACUAUUGCUACAGGUACUCCUAUUGCAUUUCAUGUUAAGGCCAAGCAGCCCACUUGGGUUCUAGAUUCUGGGGCCAAUGAUCACAUGACUGGACCUUUGUUCGAAGAGGAUUUUUGGCAGGGGUUAUGAGCGUGAUGGGCUUUACUACUUUGGGGAACCACCAGGAACAAGUCUUCAAGCUUCUGUCCUACCUACUUCUAGUGUUUAUGAUGUUUCUUUUCGCACUUUUAGUCUGUGGCAUGCACGUUUGGGGCAUGUAAACUUUCAAUAUCUAUGUCUAUUGUUUCCUUCGUCAAAUAGCAUGUAAGGACCAUAAGUUUCAAUGUGAAGUUUGUGAGCUUUCUAAACAUACUAGAACUAGCUAUAUUUCUCAUAUGAGUCGUGCUCCUAGUAUGUUUGAUCUUAUUCAUUCUGAUGUCUGGGGCCCUUCCCCAGGUACUGCUUUCUCUGGACAUCGAUAUUAUGUGACAUUUAUUGAUGAUUA
This is a long non-coding RNA of Cornus florida, 1340 nucleotides long. RefSeq lists it as uncharacterized. The transcript is spliced from 2 exons. The record is from RefSeq and is a predicted model, not a curated record. NCBI's taxonomy places the organism in Eukaryota, Viridiplantae, Streptophyta, Magnoliopsida, Cornales, Cornaceae.